Molecule: ribosomal RNA, 845 nt
Filed under: uncultured Chloroflexota bacterium
Lineage: Bacteria; Bacillati; Chloroflexota
Description: bacterial SSU rRNA
Rfam family: Bacterial small subunit ribosomal RNA
Source: RNAcentral
CGUAGGAGGCAAACGUUAUCCGGAUUUACUGGGCGUAAAGCGCGUGUAGGUGGUUCUGUAAGUAGGGCGUGAAAGCUCCUGGCUCAACUGGGAGAGGCCGUUCUAAACUGCAGAGCUAGAGGAUGGUAGAGGGAGGUGGAAUUCCGGGUGUAGCGGUGGAAUGCGCAGAUAUCCGGAGGAACACCAGUGGCGAAAGCGGCCUCCUGGACCAUUCCUGACACUCAGACGCGAAAGCUAGGGUAGCAAACGGGAUUAGAGACCCCGGUAGUCCUAGCCCUAAACGAUGUAGACUUGGCGUCGGUGGCUUAAUCGUCAUCGGUGUCGUAGCUAACGCGAUAAGUCUACCGCCUGGGGACUACGGCCGCAAGGUUAAAACUCAAAGGAAUUGACGGGUCCCCGCACAAGCAGCGGAGCGUGUGGUUUAAUUCGUUGCUACACGAAGAACCUUACCUGGGUUUGACAUAGCAGUGGUAGGAAUACGAAAGUGGACCGACCCUUCGGGGAGCUGUUACAGGUGUUGCAUGGCUGUCGUCAGCUCGUGUCGUGAGAUGUUCGGUUAAGUCCGCUAACGAGCGCAACCCUUGCCGUGUGUUACAAGUGUCACACGGGACCGCCGGUAUUAAGUCGGAGGAAGGUGAGGAUGACGUCAAGUCAGCAUGACCUUUAUAUCCAGGGCUACACACACGCUACAAUGGUCAGUACAAUAGGUUGCCAAGCCGCGAGGCGGAGCCAAUCCUAAAAAGCUGGCCUCAGUUCAGAUUGCAGGCUGCAACUCGCCUGCAUGAAGUUGGAGUUGCUAGUAACCGCAGGUCAGCUAUACUGCGGUGAAUACGUUCCCGGGGAUU